RNAcentral lists this ribosomal RNA (433 nucleotides) under uncultured bacterium. RNAcentral describes it as "partial 16S ribosomal RNA". It matches the Rfam family "Bacterial small subunit ribosomal RNA", at positions 29 to 507 of the family's 1533-position model. The record is from RNAcentral.
AACGAACGCUGGCGGCAUGCCUAACACAUGCAAGUCGAACGAGACCUUCGGGUCGAGUGGCGCACGGGGGCGUAACACGUGGGAAUCUGCCCUUUGCCUCGGAAUAACAGUUAGAAAUGACUGCUAAUACCGGAUGAUUUCGAAAGACCAAAGAUUUAUCGGCAAAGGAUGAGCCCGCGUAGGAUUGGGUAGGUGGUGGGGUAAAGGCAUACCAAGCCGACGAUCCUUAGCUGGUCUGAGAGGAUGCUCAGCCACACUGGGACUGAGACACGGCCCAGACGCGUACGGGAGGCAGCGGAGGGGAAUAUUGGACCAGGGGCGAGAGCCUGAUCCAGCAAGGCCGCGUGAGUGAUGAAGGCGUUAGAGUUGUAAAGCUCUAUUAGCAGGGAUGAUAAUGACAGUACCUGGAGAAGAAGCUCCGGCUAACUACGUG